RNAcentral lists this long non-coding RNA (2839 nucleotides) under Marmota monax (woodchuck). The record is from RNAcentral. Lineage: Eukaryota; Metazoa; Chordata; Mammalia; Rodentia; Sciuridae.
CCUAGCUCUAAGGAGACUCUCACGAAUUGUGAGCUGAUAACUGAAUGUGGACAUGUUUCCCACAGAUCCUUCAUCACUCCCUGCUACCUGGGACCCUCCGUCUCUGCCACCUUCUCCCUGCUCCAUGGUGCUCAGCCUGAGAGAAGGAGCUGCCCAGAAGUCUCUAUAGCCUCUGCUCCACAUGCCUCCCCCAAGGACACCAGCCUGCAGGCCCCUGUUGCUCCUCUGUCUAGUCCUUGAUGUCCCAUGGCUGAGUCUGCACUCAUCAUCCUGAGCAGGGUCAUGGGACCUGCCUCUGGGCAGAACUCAUGACACUUCCCAGAAUGUGACAAGCAAGCCCCACCUGACCACGUCAGGAUGGCUCUCUUCCAUUGCCUUGGGCUUGGCCAUCAAGCACCCACAAGUCCUCGCUCUCAAGAGUCAUUCAGCCAUCUUUUUCCUGCCUACCCCUCCUCCCCAGCCUUGUUGAGGUUCUCACAUGAAACUCAUUCUGGUUUAAUAAGGAAAAUUUAUUUUCUUUCCUCUUUACAAAAGUUUCCUCAAACCCAGAAAAAAAAAAAAGUUCUUCUUAAUCCGAUUGAUUUUCUCCCUCAGCACUUAUGAACAACACUAUUGUCCUGGAUAAAGGCAGUCACCACUCUCCAUGAAGAGCAGGAUUGUAAAAAGGACCAUGGAAACUGAAACCCUGGGAAGCCAUCUCCACAGUGGUCAUGAAAGAUAAUGAUUUUCUUCCACCUUUGCAGGACUUGUCAAAAUUUUUUAAAAACCUAAAAUAUCAGUCAAUUUUCAUCUUAACGGUACAGGGAAAUGAAAACAAUAAUAAAAUGAGUGCUUAGUGCACAGUGAUUUGAAACAUUGAACACUGAGCAUUAGAGUUUUAUUGCUUUGUAAAAACUUAUCCAGGGAGUUUCCACCAUGUCAGCCUGGUUCUCUUUAAUUGAAGAUGUGAAGCAAGCUUUUGGGCACCACCACCCUUUGGGCACCACCACCCUUUGGGCACCACAACUCCCCUCAUGUAGGUGGGUAACAUCACCUUCACUGGGUUCCUCUGUCUGCCAAAGGCAAGUCCCCAUGUGGGAAAUGAGUCCACACACCAAGGACAGCUACUUCUACACUGAUUCCGCCUGUGUCCAGUUUAAUCUCACUUCCAGCAUUUCCACGUGUCCUGUCCUCACUGCACUUGCAUCUCUGUUGCUUAUUCUUUAAAUAUAGACUGGACCCAAGAGGGAUUGAGAGUAGACACCAGGAAAUCCUUAGAAGCAAAUGAGAACAGAGACACAGCAUAUCUAACUCUCUGGGACACUAUGAAAGUAGUUCUGAGAGUAAAAUCUACAGCUCUGAGUGCCUACCUUAAAAAAAUAAAGGGAUCUCAAAUAAAUCGGCUUAUGCUGUACCUCAUAUCCUCAGAAAAAGAAUAACUGAUCCCAAAAAACAGGAGGAGAUAGGAAAUAUUAGAAUAAUAUUAGAGCCAAAAUUAAUGAAACUGAAAAUGAAAAACAAAGAACAAAUUCAUCCACAGAACAAAUCAGAAAAACCACCCAUUCACAAAACUUCAAGAAAAAGAAAGAAAGAAAGAAAAAGGGUCAUGAGAACUAAUCUAGCCAAUGAGGUAAAAGAGCUCUACCAUGAAAAUUACAGAACACUGAAGAAGGAAAUUGAAGAAAACCUUAGAAGAUAGAAAGACAUCCCAUGUUCUUUCCUAGGCAGAACUGAUAUCUCAAAAUGGCCAUACUACCAAAAGUAAUAUGCAGAUUCAGUGGAAUCCCCAUCAAAAUGCCAAUAUCAUUCUUCACAGAAUUGGAAAAAAAAAGUCUUAAAUGCAUUUGGAAGAAUAAGUCUCAGAAUAUCCAAAGCACUACAGAGCAAGAAAAAUGAUGCUGGGGGCAUCAGAGUGCCUGAAUUUAAAUUAUACUACAGAGCUGCAGUAACAAAAACAGCAUGGCAUUGGCACGAAAUAGACAUGAAGACCAAUGGAAAAGAAUACAAGGCACAGAGACAAACCCACAUGCUCACAGCCAUCUGACAUUUGACAAAAUACAUUUCGUAAAAAACCCUCUUUACCAAAUGGUGCUGGGAAAACUGGAUAGCUGCCUAUAUGUAGGAAAAUGAAACCAGAUCCAUACCUGUCACCUUGUAUAAAAGUCACAUAAAAAUGAAUCAAAGACACAGGAAUUAGUCCAGAAAGCUUACAACCACUAGGGAAAAAAAAAACACAUAGGGCCAACAUUCCAUGAUGUAGAUCCUGGUGACAACUUCCUUAACAAAACCCCCCAAAGUGCAAGAAAGAAAACCAAGAAUCAAUAAGGAGGGAUUCCAUCAGUUAAAAUCUUGUGCACAGCAAAGGAAAUGAUGAAGGGAACGAAGAAAGACUGUACAGAAUGGGAGAGAAUCUUUGCCAGCCACUUCCCCAACAGGAGAUUAAUAUUCAGAAUAUGUAAAGACCUCAAAUACAUUCAAUCUAAAUCACAAUAAAAAUAGUAGCCCAAUCAACAAAUGGUCCAAAAAAUCAAACAGAAACAUUAAAAGAAACACAAAUGGCCAAUGUGUAUAUGAAAAAAUGUUGAACAAUGCUUGUCGUCAGGGAAAUAUAAGUCAAUUCUACACUAAGGUAUCAUCUCACUACAGUCAGGUGGCUAAUGCCAAGAGUACAAAUAAUAAUAAGUGUUGGCGAGGAUGUCAGUAAAGUGUAACUCACACAGUGGUGAAGGCCACCACUCAGGAAAGCAGCAUGGAGAGUCCUCAAAUAACUAGGAAGGGAACCACCACGUGACCCCGCCAUCCCACUCCUUGGUGUUUUUCAAAAAGAUCUAAAACCAGCUCAGUGCAGGAGUGCAGCCAC